GAGUACGGCCGCAAGGUUAAAACUCAAAUGAAUUGACGGGGGCCCGCACAAGCGGUGGAGCAUGUGGUUUAAUUCGAUGCAACGCGAAGAACCUUACCUACUCUUGACAUCCAGCGAAUCCUGUAGAGAUACGGGAGUGCCUUCGGGAACGCUGAGACAGGUGCUGCAUGGCUGUCGUCAGCUCGUGUUGUGAAAUGUUGGGUUAAGUCCCGCAACGAGCGCAACCCUUAUCCUUUGUUGCCAGCGGUUCGGCCGGGAACUCAAAGGAGACUGCCAGUGAUAAACUGGAGGAAGGUGGGGAUGACGUCAAGUCAUCAUGGCCCUUACGAGUAGGGCUACACACGUGCUACAAUGGCGUAUACAAAGAGAAGCGAACUCGCGAGAGCAAGCGGACCUCAUAAAGUACGUCGUAAUCCGGAUUGGAGUCUGCAACUCGACUCCAUGAAGUCGGAAUCGCUAGUAAUCGUGGAUCAGAAUGCC
Molecule: ribosomal RNA, 480 nt
Filed under: Edwardsiella sp. (in: enterobacteria)
Lineage: Bacteria; Pseudomonadati; Pseudomonadota; Gammaproteobacteria; Enterobacterales; Hafniaceae
Description: bacterial SSU rRNA
Rfam family: Bacterial small subunit ribosomal RNA
Source: RNAcentral